Molecule: long non-coding RNA, 410 nt
Filed under: Actinidia chinensis (golden kiwifruit)
Lineage: Eukaryota; Viridiplantae; Streptophyta; Magnoliopsida; Ericales; Actinidiaceae
Description: long non-coding RNA (ACHI_LNC006103)
Source: RNAcentral
AAAAGUAAUAGAUUCUGAGGUGUUUAUAUAAUUAAGACACUUUAUAAUCACAAGAAGUUAAUCUACUCCCUCCCUCUCCUACCAUGAGUCUGCACACAAGAAAGUCUUUCAACUGUGGAUCCAGAGUCGCACUCGUUCUACUACUGUGUCUAUAUCAUUGCCGUUCGAGCCGUAGCCGCUUCAGACAACUACAAACUACAUGCACAAUUGACCAUUGUGCUCCUUGCGUAGCAUCACACUCUCACAGUUCCAACACCUCAAUCAAAACUUCAUCUCACAAACCAGCCUAAAAUACUCUCCGAAAAACCCCAGAAAGAGAAAAAACAUGGGUGUUCCUUCUUUCAUAUGUUUUCUCACUCUCCUCUCUCUCUCCUCCUCCUCCUCCCUCUCCUCUCCACCACCCACCACCA